UACGUAGGGUGCGAGCGUUGUCCGGAUUUAUUGGGCGUAAAGAGCUCGUAGGCGGUUUGUCGCGUCGGCCGUGAAAACCUACAGCUUAACUGUGGGCUUGCGGUCGAUACGGGCAGACUUGAGUUCGGCAGGGGAGACUGGAAUUCCUGGUGUAGCGGUGAAAUGCGCAGAUAUCAGGAGGAACACCGGUGGCGAAGGCGGGUCUCUGGGCCGAUACUGACGCUGAGGAGCGAAAGCGUGGGGAGCGAACAGGAUUAGAUACCCUGGUAGU
Molecule: ribosomal RNA, 271 nt
Filed under: uncultured prokaryote
Description: partial 16S ribosomal RNA
Rfam family: Bacterial small subunit ribosomal RNA
Source: RNAcentral